CAUUUCUCAAAACCCUAAAAAAUCUCUCUUCCCUUCUCUCAACCACCACACCAUGGCCGCGCCUCUCUCUCUUCUCCCUCUCCCUCUGUGCUCACCCCUCUCUCUCUCUUUUCACUCUAUCCGGUGAGGCGAUGGCACUGAUCUGGCCGUGUGUAUUGUUAGUGGUGGCGGCAAUGGCACUAGUUUUGAGAUAGCGGCGAAGAAGAUGACGUGGAGGUGGAGAGAUUAGAGUUUUAUUGGUGGUGGAAAGAUUAGAGGUUUUUUGGUGGUGGUGGUGUCUCCGAUUUGGGAUUUUGGUGGUGGUGGAGAGAUUACGGUUUUUAGUGGUAGUAGUGUCUCAGAUCUGGCUGUGUGUAUUUGUUAAAAGCCAAAUACAAAUACAUUCAAAAAUCUACAUCUCACAAAUACACUAUGUUUGAAUGUAUUUGUCUUUGUAUU
Lycium ferocissimum is the source of this 438-nucleotide long non-coding RNA. RefSeq lists it as uncharacterized. The record is from RefSeq and is a predicted model, not a curated record. The transcript is spliced from 2 exons. Lineage: Eukaryota; Viridiplantae; Streptophyta; Magnoliopsida; Solanales; Solanaceae.